UACGUAGGGGGCAAGCGUUGUCCGGAUUUACUGGGCGUAAAGCGCGCGUAGGCGGAACGAUCAGUCCGGUCUGAAAGCCCCCGGCUCAACCGGGGAGGGUGGCUGGAAACUGUCGUUCUUGAGGGCGAGAGAGGAGGGUGGAAUUCCUGGUGUAGCGGUGAAAUGCGUAGAGAUCAGGAGGAACACCCGUGGCGAAGGCGGUUCUCUGGGCCUUACCUGACGCUGAGGAGCGAAAGCGUGGGGAGCGAACAGG
RNAcentral lists this ribosomal RNA (253 nucleotides) under uncultured bacterium. RNAcentral's name for it is "partial 16S ribosomal RNA". It matches the Rfam family "Bacterial small subunit ribosomal RNA", at positions 524 to 776 of the family's 1533-position model. The record is from RNAcentral.